ACUUUUUGUGGAUAUUUGUUUUUGAGGUUUUGCUGAAGUCUACAUACAUCUUAGUCUAUAGAAAAUGUGUUCUUUAUCAAACAUUUAAUUUCGUAGUUAACCUGUUCUCACAAAAUUAACAAAUAUUGGUAUCCACAAAUGAUAAUGUAUCCACAGUAGAGAAAAACAGAGCAAAAAAAUAAAAUAAAGAAUAGCCAAAAAUAAAGCAGAAAAAAAACAAAGAAUAAAGAAAAAUAGACCAAAAAAUAAAGAAUAGAGAACAAUUUGAUGCUAAAAUAUAAAGAAUACAGAAAUACUGCUUAAAAAAUUAAAAAAUAUAGAAAUGAAAGACCCCCAUUGUUCCCCGAACUAGACUCUCAUAGUCACAGUACAAGUAAAGUGGAUUUACAUGAUAG
This 395-nucleotide long non-coding RNA is filed under the name Mytilus galloprovincialis (Mediterranean mussel). The record is from RNAcentral. Lineage: Eukaryota; Metazoa; Mollusca; Bivalvia; Mytilida; Mytilidae.